Molecule: RNA transcript, 2935 nt
Organism: Planococcus citri (citrus mealybug)
Lineage: Eukaryota; Metazoa; Arthropoda; Insecta; Hemiptera; Pseudococcidae
Gene: WDR79
Gene name: WD repeat domain 79
Exons: 9
Source: RefSeq, a predicted model, not a curated record
GACGGUGCGACGGGCGACCGGUUUUCCGGCGUGUGUUCAUCGUGGUUUCCUUUUCAUAAUAUUAUUUCGGUAUAGUAUUAGAUCUCAAGUUCCCUAGUAUUUCAUUUUUACUAUUGAAGAAGACGAGAGUGCUCAUUUCGAUCAUUUGGCCAUUUUCUACGGUUUAUUGGUAAUGCCAUGGUUUCUGAUGAUCCGUCUUCCGCUACGAACGGUAUGGCCAAUCAAGAGAAUAAUAUCAGUCAUAGGACUCCAUAUUCAGAAAAUUGCAACUCUUUUCCUACUUUCGAAAGACUUGAAGAGUCGAAUACGAGAGAAAAUUUGAGUGGAGAACUGCCGAUGGAAAUUAUUACAAGUAAUUCUCAAGAUGCUUUUAUUAGUGCUCCAGUAUUGUGCGAAGUAUAUGAACACGAUCAGUUCUUCAAGGGAUGCAAAUGGUCCCCAGAUGAUUUAUCAAAUAGAAUUUUAACUUGCGACGGUGGAAAUAAAUUGAGAAUAUUUCAUACAUUUCUAAACAGAAUGGAUUUUGUCAGUUCGCAAAUAUCUGAUGAUUUUUGCGAACUAUCGAACAUCGGAAAAAUCUACGAUUUUGAUUGGUACCCGAUUGUUUCACCAUCUCAAUAUUAUGUUUUAGUCGCCAGUAGUUUGGGCCCUAUUCAUAUGUGGGAUUUGCGUACCUCAAAAAGUGAAGCUUCUUACCAAAUGUAUAGCACGAAAGAUGAAGCAGUUCAUGCUCAUUGCGUUACGAGUUCACUUGAUGGGCAAGAAAUAUACGCAGCUACUUCAGAUUACAUCUUUCACUUUGAUGCCAACAGACCCGGUCGAACUUACGAUUUUGUCUCAACCAGAUCUCAUUUCAGGCGAGCUAUUAUAUCCACGAUUGCAUUAAAUCCGAUUCGAAAUUCAAUGUUUGCUGUUGGAACGUACAAUAAUCGCAUUGGUAUAUAUGACGAAGCGCAAUUAUUAUGUAUGUUAUAUGGCCAUACUAAAGGUAUUACGUAUUUGAAGUUCUCACCAAAUGGAACAUUUCUCUUCUCGGGAGUGCGGGGUGAAAAAGAAAUAAUUUGUUGGGAUCUGCGUAAUCCUGGAACAGCGUUGUAUAAAUUGAAUCGAGCGGUUAAAACCCAACAGAGAAUUUAUUUCGACUUGACAGCUGACGGAAAGUACAUCGUUAGUGGUAGCACUAAUGGUGAUAUUCUCGUUUGGAAUACGUUGUUACCACCUGUUGAUGAUACUUUGGAACCUAUCUGUACGUUUAAAGCGCAUGAAGAUUGCGCCAAUGGUAUCAGCAUUAAUAAACAAGUUCCUAUAAUCGCUACGGUUUCCGGUCAGUAUCACGACAACGAAUCGUCGCGUUUGUUUUACGAUAGCGAAGACGAAUACCAACCUGUUGAUUACCCUAAAAUCGAAAAUUCGCUGAAAUUAUGGCAUGUAAAGUGGUAGAAACUGAAGAAGAUUUCCGUGUGAAUAUGGACUCGUGAAAUUGUCACUGUUAACCAACAUGACGAACUUUCGGCGGAGUGCAAGUUUGCUAAAAAAUGCUCGCUAGAUCAUCGUGAUCGGGAACCUGUUGAUACUGGAGAUCGUUUCAAAGGGAGAAUUAUGUUUUUUGCUUAAUGGACUACCUAUGUACGUUGUACGGUGGUAUGAGGAAGACUGCGAAUUAUCACGUGUGUUGUGUAUUUAAUGUACCUACUACCUAGGACUACCCACUAGAUCACGAGGACGAGUAUUUUUACGUACCAACUGCAGUACUGCAGUAUAGGCGUAGAUGAGAUGCUCUUGAGAUCUUGUUCUUUGCGUGUUUUGGAAACUGAAGGAGCUACGCUUGAAAUUUUAAAAAAUUGAAUUUUAAUUUUCAGAGCAAUCCAAACGAAUACUAAUCUUGUUUUGCAAAAUGAUCUUCCUUUGAAAAAAAAAUUUGCGAGAGUGUAAAAUGACUGAAAAUAAAGAUCGAUUCGCUGUAAACAUUUUUGUGCACACGGCUCCUUCAGUUUCGGAGAUGGAUGAUCUUAUUGUAGAACCUUAAUCUUGUUCGCCAGCAUGUUACACAACUUCAUUUUCAUAACUACGAAAAAAUUUGAGAGUUUGGCCCCUACAAUUCUCAAAGUACGUAGACACAUUUCAGGAAACUGGAUGUGAGGUCGAUGUAUGUUACUCCUUCGAGUAAAUUAUGAAAACUGUGUCGUCUCGAUGGGUGGUGUAGGUACACUUUUGACAGUUACCUAUAGUUGAAGUUGGGAAAAUAGGGAUUUAGUAGUUGUAAUUUGGUAUACGUCAGUCAGUUACCUAUAUAAAUUCGUAAAAGUACCUAAUGGCUUUUCUUUUUAGAAAACACUGAAACAAAAUGUAGUAAACUUAUACCUACUGAAAUUUUGCAGUCAGGUUGUAAAAUUUAUAGAUUUUCAGUUAUAAAAUUUAAACAUUCUUUCCUCCUUCCUCUACUCAGGUAACUUCGAAGGAAUAUAUUGCCCAAUACAGUCGUUGAAACUUGAGAGGUCAGGCUCAGGUCGAACGAGGAUUGUUCGGCAGAUAAUCCUCUUCUUAUGGAAGAAAUUGAUUAAUUGGAAAAAUUUCAUACUUGGUAACACCUUUUUUAAGGAAAAUAUUGGAAAAGUUGCGUCUGAUUGACAAUUGAGUAGCCGAGAAAAUUGGAAAAUUUUAUUCAUUAAAAAUUUGAACUUUCGAUAAAGAAAGAUGGAUCGUGAAAAAAGUGUCUGAUUAAUUUUAUGUGAAAAAAUAAAAUUUAUUUUAAUGAAAAAAAAAAUUAUAAAAAUUGAUGAUUGACGUAUUUUAAUCAAUAAGUAUUUAUGUUUUUCUUUUGGUGAAGUAAAUUACAGAAAGCAACCAUUAGAACCUUCCAAAGUUUCAGAUUUUUCUGAAUUAAUGUCCUAAAAUCAUAACGAGGAUUAAAAGUUUUUUUCAUAAUUUAGUUUUA